UCAUUUCAAUCAAUAAUCUCUAUUUAAGUGUAUGCUAUUAUUCUAAUCCGCUCUCGAAUCAUCUAUUUAAAUUAAUUCGCUCUGAAUCUAAAUUUGAGCUUCAACUCGAACUCGCUAGGGUAAACAAUUUUCAGUGUUGUUGCGGUUACCUAGCGUGGAGUGAAACUCAGCUACUAGCCUAAAACAACAUAAGCAGUAGGUUACUUACCGUCCCUAGUGCAAGUGGCAAAAAGUUUUGUGAUUGAUAUUCAAGGUUCCAAGUUCGAAUCCUAGUUGAUUCAUAUUUUCAGCUAAAUUUAUUUCUAAAUGAAAUAAGCGAAACGAAUAACAUACCUAUCUCUCAAAAAAAAAAAAAAAAAAAA
Molecule: long non-coding RNA, 362 nt
Filed under: Ananas comosus (pineapple)
Lineage: Eukaryota; Viridiplantae; Streptophyta; Magnoliopsida; Poales; Bromeliaceae
Description: long non-coding RNA (ACOM_LNC008350)
Source: RNAcentral